RNAcentral lists this ribosomal RNA (252 nucleotides) under uncultured bacterium. RNAcentral's name for it is "partial 16S ribosomal RNA". It matches the Rfam family "Bacterial small subunit ribosomal RNA", at positions 524 to 776 of the family's 1533-position model. The record is from RNAcentral.
UACGUAUGUCGCAAGCGUUAUCCGGAUUUACUGGGCGUAAAGGGCGUCUAGGCGGUUUGGUAAGUCUGAUGUGAAAUUGCCGGGCUUAACCCGGUAUUGCGUUGGAAACUGUCAAACUAGAGUACUGGAGAGGGGGGCGGAACUACAAGUGUAGAGGUGAAAUGCGUAGAUAUUUGGAGGAAUGCCGAUGGAGAAGGCAGCCCACUGGACAGAUACUGACGCUGAAGCGCGAAAGCGUGGGGAGCAAACAGG